RNAcentral lists this ribosomal RNA (253 nucleotides) under uncultured bacterium. RNAcentral describes it as "partial 16S ribosomal RNA". It matches the Rfam family "Bacterial small subunit ribosomal RNA", at positions 524 to 776 of the family's 1533-position model. The record is from RNAcentral.
UACAGAGGGUGCAAGCGUUGUUCGGAAUUAUUGGGCGUAAAGGGCGCGUAGGCGGUGCGGUAAGUCUGUCGUGAAAGCCCCGGGCUCAACCUGGGAAUGGCGAUGGAUACUGGCUCGCUAGAGUGCGGUAGAGGAGAGUGGAAUUCCCGGUGUAGCAGUGAAAUGCGUAGAGAUCGGGAGGAACAUCAGUUGCGAAGGCGGCUCUCUGGACCAGCACUGACACUGAGGCACGAAAGCGUGGGGAGCAAACAGG